RNAcentral lists this ribosomal RNA (517 nucleotides) under uncultured bacterium. RNAcentral describes it as "partial 16S ribosomal RNA". It matches the Rfam family "Bacterial small subunit ribosomal RNA", at positions 28 to 523 of the family's 1533-position model. The record is from RNAcentral.
GACGAACUCUGGCGGCGUGCCUAAUACAUGCAAGUCGAGCGGACCGGAUUGGGGCUUGCCUUGAUUCGGUCAGCGGCGGACGGGUGAGUAACACGUGGGCAACCUGCCCGCAAGACCGGGAUAACUCCGGGAAACCGGAGCUAACACCGGAUAACACCGAAGACCGCAUGGUCUUCGGUUGAAAGGCGGCCUUUGGGCUGUCACUUGCGGAUGGGCCCGCGGCGCAUUAGCUAGUUGGUGAGGUAACGGCUCACCAAGGCGACGAGGCGUAGCCGGCCUGAGGGGGUGACCGGCCACACUGGGACUGAGACACGGCCCAGACGCCUACGGGAGGCAGCAGUAGGGAAUCUUCCGCAAUGGGCGAAAGCCUGACGGAGCGACGCCGCGUGAGCGAAGAAGGCCUUCGGGUCGUAAAGCUCUGUUGUGAGGGACGAAGGAGCGCCGUUCGAAGAGGGCGGCGCGGUGACGGUACCUCACGAGAAAGCCCCGGCUAACUACGUGCCAGCCGCCGCAGUAA